GCCUCUUCUUUAGCUCUGAAAGAGGAAGUGGGACGCCUAUGGGGAAGCCCACCUAUCGGGGUCAGUCACGUGGUCAGAGGUGAGCAUCUGCCGGGUUCCCUGCCCCCACCCCAAGUGAAGUCCUGGUUGGGGGUUGGGGGGGCGGCGGUCAGGGGGCUCCCCGGGCUCCCUCUGCAGAAGGCGGUCCUUUCAGUCGACCUGGUUCCCCACCUGCAUGUGGAACAUCUCCUGCAGGGCACCCCCCACCCGCGCCCAACACCAGGGGCUCCUAGUCUGAAAGAAGCAGGGAAAAGAAGGCAGCUCUGGGGCAUCUGGGAACAAGGGGUCAGUGUCUCCUUUGUCCUAAUAAGGACGGGACAGAGCAAGUCCAUCCGCAGCUCCCCGUCAGCAUCCCAGGUCCCCAAACCCCAGUCACUCCGGCCUCUCUCGGGCUCUCAUUUUCCAUCCGCGGAGCAGUAGAAAGCCUCAAGAAUUCCCUUUCAUUUCACUCCAUUAAUAACUAAGCGCGGGGCCUGAAAUAUUUAUGGCCUGAGCGCAGAGCCUGCUUGGGGCAGGACGAGGCAGAUGGCGGCAAUUUGUAAGCCUGCUGGCCGGCCCCUCUCAGAAGGGACACCUAGAUGGCUUUGGUGACCCGGGCAGCCUCGAGCUGUGUGCCACCUGGGGUGCCCCGGAACUGAGGCGGGGCCGUGUUUGCAACUGGCAGGAGCCCCGCCUUCUCUGCGCUUCUGCUCUGUUACACAGCAACGGGGCCACGGAGACCUCACAGCGUAUGGCAAAAUUAAUGCAAGAUGGUUCACAAAUCUCGAUAUAAAAUAUAAAGCUUUUAGACACAAGAGAAAAUUUUCUGGAGUUAGAGAAGAUGUUCUUAGCCAUGAUAACUAAAAGCAUGAUCCAUAUAAAAAAAAGUGAUAAAUUGGACUUCAUCAAAAUUUAAAAUUUUUGCUCUGCCAAAGAUCUUGUUAAAGAGAAUUCAACGAUGAGCUGCCGACUAGAAUAAAAUAUCUGCACCUGCCCUACAGGUAGCUAAAGGGGGCCGCCGAAAUACAGUUCUAGCCAUUGCAGUAAUAAGUCUGGGUGGUUCUGGCAAAGAUUCCAUCUCUCUGAUAGAAGGGCGAUGUUCGAGUUCCCGUCGUGGCUCAGUGGUUAAUGAACCCAACCAGUAGCCACGAGGACAUGGGUUCAAUCCCUGGCCUUGCUCAGCGGGUUAAGGAUGCAAUGUUGCCGUGAGCUGUGGUGUACGUUGCAGACGCAUCUCAGAUCCCCCGUCGCUGUGGCUGUGGCGUGGGCUGGCGGCUACAGCUCUGAUUUGACCCCUAGCCUGGGAACUUCCAUAUCCGCAGGUGUGCCUCUAAAAAGACAAAAAUAAAAUAAAAUAAAAUAAAAAUCUAUAUGAGAGUCACAGAAAUUCAGAUUCAACACUCUGACAUGUUUGAGAUGCUGACCCAGCACCAUGGCUGCCUCCUUCCAGACUGUUGUUGUGUGAGGUUAUUUCAAAUGCAUUUGUUACUUAAUCACUAUUAUCUGAUCCUCUGUUACUCUGGGGUGCCGGCGUCCUAAGUGAUACAGAAACAGGGCUACUCCUUUCUCUGGCUCCUCCUCACAGGCUAUCCCAGAUAAGAAUUCAGGGUGCACUUCCUCUGUCGGGGGCUCUGGAAACAAGGAGGGGGUGGUACCAUUCACGCCUGGCCCUCCUGUGCCCGGUGGGUGCAGGCCCAUGCAGUCUGUAGGUUUGCAUCUUUGCAACCCCUUGUCCUCAACCCUGGCUAAGCCGAGCAAAAAUAGAGCUUUCUUGGAAAGAUACCAGGGCAGUUCAUACCAUGAAAGGAUGUGCACAGCAAUAAAUUCUUGGCAAACACAGGAGGCAGAGCUCCGGGAAACUCAGCAGUGGGAAUCCACAGACCUUCUCUCUAGGAUGCUGCCAUAUAAUGACUCCUGCUACCUCCUUCCAUCCAUUUGUGCCUUGGUUCAACUUUCGGGUUCCCAGGAGGGAGGAUCCAAUUGGUAGAGGUUGGUCGGGUACUCACCCUUUGGAAAAUUCAGUAUGGCCAGGAGCUGGGAGGGUUUGUUGGUCAAGCCUCACUUACUACCUGUUGCCAUCACCAGGGAUGGGCCUCAAGACCCCAAGGAGUGGGGUCUGCCUUUAGGAGAGCUUGGAGGGAGAGAUGCCAGCAAAGAAAAGCCAGAGCUGCAGUAGCGUCGCCCUUCUUGAAGCAAUGGUCAUGGCUGUGACUCUGGGACUGCUUGACUGAAUCCUCAUUAGCCCAUGUAAGAACCUGGACCCAACAGGCUGGACCUUGUCCUGAUCUCUCAUCCCUGCUCCAAAUGGAGGCAACUCAUUGACAGCAGAUGGGCCUGCAAUGGGAAAGCCAUCGGGGGUUUCAGCAGAGGACCGCAUGUUCCCAUCUCACUAUGAACUCACCCUGGCUUUCGGCCGGAAUGAAUAGCGAAGAGGAUGUCCAGAGAGACCAGCUGGGAGACGGACACAGGGACCGGAGGAAGAGGAAGGUGAUAGUGAGUAUGGAGAGAGGGAGGUGUUCCCAUUUUCUUUUCUUUUUCUUUUUAGGGCCGAACCUGUGGCAUAAUGGAGGUUCCCAGGCUAGCGGUCAAAUCAAAGCUACAACUGCCAGCCUACACCACAGCCACAGCAACAUGGGAUCCAAGCCACAUCUGCCACCUACACCACAGCUCACGGCAACGCGGGAUCCUUAACCCACUAAGCAAGGCCAGGGAUCGAACCCGCAUCCUCAUGGAUCCUAGUCUGGUUCUUAACCUGCUGAGCCACAAUGGGAACUUCCUUCUUGUUUCCAUUUUUGGUGGAUGGUUAGGGUGAAGAAGAGAGAGGAACCCGAGUUCUGGUCUGAGCACCCAGGUGGAUGUUGCCAUCCACGGAGAAGAGUAAGCAGGAGACAGAGGGAGUGAGUUCAGGGGACUGCUAAGUUCUCCACACGUAGUGGAUUUAGGUGACAAGCAGGAAGCCCAGAGCUCUGGGUCCAGCCCAGAAAUGUCUAUUUGGGAGCCAAGAGUCUAUAAAUGAUAGACCCAGUAAAAGGAUGUGAUCACUGGGGAGAGAGGUGAGAACAGAGAGGAGGACGGCGCCCAGCCUGAGCACGGAGGGCUCCUGUUCCUGCAGGAGGAGUUGUCCGCCAGGUCUGAGAAGGAGCCUCGGGGAGGGGGAAGGGAGCAAGAGAGUGUGUGGUCCUGGAAGCCAAGCCGGGAGGAAGCACCUUCAGUUGGGCUGUGAUUUCCAGGUCCUUGAGGGAGCUGAUGCUAUGCUUCUCUAUACAUCAGCCCCUUCUGGCGAACAAGCCCCGAACUUGCACCUCCUCCUGGCCUCUUCCCAUCCACCCAGCGUCUCAGGGGGAAGGGGAUAAAACCUCGGAAGGCCACCGAAGAAAGAGCUCCCUCCCCCACCUCCCCAGCCUACGCCUACCCUAUUCACUCCGCUGCAAGGAUUCAUUAUAAUUUUUUAGCCACGGAGCAAAGGAAGAGGCGUUAAGCCUGGACUGUUGAGCUGGUUUUGCAAUUACUUUCCCUAUUCUAGCUCCCCUCGGUUCACCCCCACGCUUCUGGGAAAUGCAACUUGUAGAUCCCAGGGCACCUCAGGCGCUCCUGAGCGCACUGAGCAAGCGCAGGACACGUGCACCCCUGGCCGGCCGGCGGAGCUGCCCUCAGGAGGGAAGGUCCAGAUGGUCUUUGGCUCAAGGAGCGCGCUGAUCUCAGCAGCCGAACUGCUUGGGGGCAUUUCACAGGAAAUUGGGGCCAAGGACUAGCAUUUUGUCUUGGCUGCCCCUCAGAGCUGCUCUGGUAGCUUAAUUUAAAAGUGGAAGAUAAAGUGCUUGUGCGUUGGAGAAACCAAGACGAGGGAGCAUAUUUCUUUUCUGUUUAUGACAUCUCGCAGCUGAGCUCCACCUCCGCAGGAUGGAGAGCCCAUGGCCUUUGGAAGGAGAAGGAACUUUGGGGGAAAAAAAAACAGCUGUCGGGAGUCCUAGACCUUCUCACGGGAACAGAGGGAAGGGGACAGACCGGGGCCAGCGCCGCGGAUGACCCGCCCUCACGGAGUCGGUAGAAGGAAGCCCUCGUGGUGGCCAGGCCCCUCUGCAGAGGCCCUCAGCCAUCCUGCGGUAGAAAACUGUCAGCAGAGGUUGACGCUCCAGCAGCGCUUUCUCCACCCUUGUCAGCCCAGCCACACGCGGGAAGCACAAGUGCCCAGGAUCAGGGGACGCAAAACUGCACGUCCCACCUUCUCAUGAGCUAGAGGCCUGGAGAAGGUCAGAGUCUCUUCCUGGGGCACAGAGGAAGGUAAAGGCUGAUGCCGGAGUGCAUGUCAGGGUUUGGAGGCCUGGGUCCCCCUGGCUCUCAGGGCUGACGCAUAAGGCAGGCGAAAGUCAAUGCCACCAAACAGCAGCUCUCUGCAUAGCCCCACUUCUCUCUUCACCUCAGAUGUGCCUGACUGAUGCACCAAAUCCCUUAAGCCCAAAUGCAAGCAGACAAAAGAGCCGGAGCCCUUGCAAGAACAGACCCUGUGUGCCGGAGGAGGAGAGGCAGCCUGGGUGCCAUGGCCCUUACAAGGGCCAGAGCCCCUCGGUCACUUGGUGCCAUCGUAGAAGAGCAGGUGUCCUGCUUCAUCUCUGUGAAGCGGGAGGUAUAAGAAAUAACGGUAUUUAUUUUAAAGCAAAUUCUGUACAUCAGUUUGCUUUCAGAAAAAAAUAACUUCGAUUAGAGCAGAACACCUUUGUCAAAAAGGAAAUAUUGUUCGUCUUGCGGCUUUUCACCAGUGCGUAAUAGGCAUUGUACGUUCACUCAUUCAUUCAUCAAACACCUUUGGGCCCAGACCAAGUGACAGGUGAGAGGGAUACAGAAGUAAAUGUGUCUUCUGCCACUGCCAAUGGGGGAGGGGACUAGCACAAUGUGAAUUAGAGAGUGGAGGUUGGCUCUGGCAAUUCUGAUUGCAAGAAACGCACUGAAAAUAUAAAGACACAGAAU
Molecule: long non-coding RNA, 4983 nt
Filed under: Sus scrofa (pig)
Lineage: Eukaryota; Metazoa; Chordata; Mammalia; Artiodactyla; Suidae
Description: lncRNA (ENSSSCG00035037876.1)
Source: RNAcentral